UUUCUCUUUCUCUCUCUUCAAGCCCCCCUCCUCCCCCCUCCACGUUCAUCAUCUUCCCUAAACGCGUUAGUGGAGCACAAACCAGAAGCAGCCUUAAUCUGUCAACAUGCCCUUUAAUUGGAGGGAGAAAACAACACGUGCUUCUGGUUAUGCCAUUCCUAAGUGCACAUGCCAAAGAAACACAGAGUUCAUGGAAGAAGUGAUCCCGGGAGAGCAGGGCAUAAUUAAAAGUAUCUUUUAAUAGGCUUGUAAUGCUGAGCCUGACUCUUGUUGCUUUAAGUAGAGGGCGAACUCUGUGGCUGGAGACGGACAUGCAAGGGGCUUCUGCUGAGGGAGCCUGUAAACGAUACAUUGCCUCGUCGUCAUCAGACAUGCAGUCUCUGCCUCAGUCACCACACUCGAGAUGACAGCCACUUUCCACCCCUGCCGCGGACACCUUGGCUUACCCGUUGCCGUGUUCUUUUGUUCUCAGAAUGAGAGAUUCUCCUCCACGACAUCACUUCUCCUCAUCUCCUUCCCAGCCACUUUGGCAAGUUGUGUUCUACCUCCUACUCACAGCACCAGCGGGGAGUGAGAACUGGGACUAAGAGGUUGAUUUGGGGCCUGCUACACUGUAAUCAAAUGAGACUGCUUAGGGGAGAGGAGAAGGAGGAGUCCCGGUAGCCAUGUUUCAUAAACACGGAAUGGGAAACAUCCUCAGCAUUAGAAAUUUAGAUUGCUGCUUUCCUCCUGCCACUCUGCAUUCCGCACGUGCCCGGUCGCAUUCUCCAUCUCCCAAUGCUGAGUAACCAUUUUGUCCGACAUCUGACACACUGCCCUGGGUUAUUGAGCCAGACGUGGAAAUCCAAAGCGGAGAUGCUCUCCUUAAUGCCUGACACCUGGUGCAGAUUUGGAAGGGAUUGCACUACAGGUACUGUCUUACCUCUUCACCAAUCCCAGAAAGUCCCUUAGGUAUUUCCUUUUCUUUCCACGGCUGUGUUUGUUUCUACUCUUCUUUGCCACCCAGGUAUCAAGCCUCUGUUAGCUGGCCCCUGUGUUGGGAUUAAGUUCAGAAGGUGUUGAAAAAGGAUACCUAUCAUCCCUUUGAUAAAUACGAUUCUGAUUUGUUCAGGUAUUUUUAAGGCCUCAAAAAAUAUAAGUAGGAUUAAAAACCUUUCUAAGUAUACGUUACAUUUUCAGUGGGAUAAAAUGAAAGAAAGAUUUCCUGUCCAGGAGCCAGAGCUUUUUUUUUUCUACUUUAAAAAUAAAGUAAAUGAUAGCAAUUGAAGAAAGAGCGCAAUGCUGUCACUGAUAAGUUAAAUCUGACAGUUCUUUCAUUUGACAAAAAAUGAGUUCAGUUUUCUGGAAUGAUUACUGAAACAUGUCUGAUGUUAAUAUUAUUAAACUGCUAAUUCCACUUCUGAUCCUGUUAUUUGUUCUUCUCUUGCCACACCCUCUGUCAGGGUAUGCUUUACAAGUGGACGCUACUCUGGAGUGUUGCAGCUCACCUUACCGCUUGCAGUCACAUCUGCAGACUGUGCUGGAGCAGAAUGGCUAGCGAACAUAAACACAGCAAGGACAUCAAAGGCCGGCAGGUUGGGCUAUACCACCUGAGCAUGCUGAUUGCAGUGCAGUUCAGUAUCAUCUGACUGGUGAAAACAGAGGAUUUUGUUGCACCAAGUUGAGACAUUUAACAGAAGGUUCCAACCAGAAUUUUUUGUUUAUUUGUUUAAAAAAAUAAAAAUAAAUGAAUAAAUAAAAGCUCAAAACACAAGCCUUUUGGCCUAUGAAUGGCAAAUUAUAAUUCAGUCCUGGAUAACUCAAGCAACACAGAUAAACUGUGAGCUGUACGCCACAAUAAUGUAACAGUCUUUCCUGGAUAAUAAUAUAAUAAGCAAGAUAAGCAAGUGCACACUUGGUGAGCUUCAUAGGCACACUGUUUAUGUUGACACAUGCAACUCUCUUCCUGAUGCAAAUGCAAUCUAAACAUUAAGCAAAGGGAAGGCAAGCGUAGCCCAUAAAGGCUGUGAGCUCCAAACACUUUGAACAGACAACUAUCACUAAUCACUCCCAGAGCAGUGCGGCGUGUAAUUACUCUGCCAAACGUUUGCCUUUCACAGCUUAGCACUAGGAGCCCUGACCCUGCGCUUCCCUGUCUUUCCUCACCACCGUGCAUGUGGAAGGGGAGGACCCCCACCACCCCCCGCCUGCUCCUCUUUCCCCUUUCUCUUUAGCAAGGGGAAAGGCAAGCUGAGCUC
Molecule: long non-coding RNA, 2237 nt
Organism: Pundamilia nyererei
Lineage: Eukaryota; Metazoa; Chordata; Actinopteri; Cichliformes; Cichlidae
Exons: 3
Source: RefSeq, a predicted model, not a curated record